Cajanus cajan (pigeon pea) is the source of this 849-nucleotide non-coding RNA. The record is from RefSeq and is a predicted model, not a curated record. NCBI's taxonomy places the organism in Eukaryota, Viridiplantae, Streptophyta, Magnoliopsida, Fabales, Fabaceae.
UAAUAUUAAAUUAAUUAUUUUCGAAGUAAUUUUUUAAAAAAAUUUAAUGUUAUAAAAAAUUUUGUCAGGUUUUUAGGUAAAUAAGAGAAUGACCGCUUUCUUUUUGAUUGAAGGAUUUGAUGGAGAGGGAUAUGAUUUUUUAGGAAGUUAAGAGAGAGAGAUCAUUCCCAAAUCUCAAUCCAUUACCGAUAAUUUUGUUAAUGGGUUUUGAGAGAGAUAAGAGGUUCAUAAUCUGAUCUUAUGUUUUAUACUUUUUAAUUCAAUCCAUUGCAGUGGUCACAUUUCUGUGUUCUCACACUACAUAGCCAGCCACAACCCUAAGCUUCUGUUCCUACACAAGCUGGUGCGGUCAUACGGAACGCAGCUUCUUAAUAUUGAUAGGAGUUUCGUAGUUUGCUUAGUACAUGGAAGUGACAACCUUCAAGUUUCAAAGAAAAAUCCCUUCCAAGGCAUUUGUUUGAUUGUGUUCAAGGUUGGCUGAUUCUAUGCGGUGGUUGGCUUCAUUUGAUGAGAGAAAAUUGCGGGGAUGGUUGUUUGUCUCAAUUGGCUCUAUUUUCUUUGUUGGGUAUUUCUUUGUUGUUGUUAUUUCCAAGCUUCUCCCACCUUCAAACAUUGCCCUCAUUUCUGCGUUGCAAAAUGACUGGUAAUUAAUUAAUUAAUUAGUCCUGAUAUUGAGAUGUGAUUCUGUAGGUUUUUACUUUCAUGUCAAUGGUUUUUCAACAUAAUUGUCGUUUUUGGGGAGGGCAUAAUUUAGGGUGUAGAAUGUAAGGGCAUGAAAUUGCAAUAUGUUCUGUCAUGGGUUUUUGUAUAAAUUGUUUUGUGUCGUGUGAUGAUGAUAAUGGGUAUGUU